UAGGGAAUCUUCGGCAAUGGACGGAAGUCUGACCGAGCAACACCGCGUGAGUGAAGAAGGUUUUCGGAUCGUAAAGCUCUGUUGUUAGAGAAGAACGUUGGUAGGAGUGGAAAAUCUACCAAGUGACGGUAACUAACCAGAAAGGGACGGCUAACUACGUGCCAGCAGCCGCGGUAAUACGUAGGUCCCGAGCGUUGUCCGGAUUUAUUGGGCGUAAAGCGAGCGCAGGCGGUUCAUUAAGUCUGAAGUUAAAGGCAGUGGCUUAACCAUUGUACGCUUUGGAAACUGGAGGACUUGAGUGGAGAAGGGGAGAGUGGAAUUCCAUGUGUAGCGGUGAAAUGCGUAGAUAGAUGGAGGAACACCGGUGGCGAAAGCGGCUCUCUGGUCUGUAACUGACGCGGAGGCUCGAAAGCGUGGGGAGCAAACAGG
This 429-nucleotide ribosomal RNA is filed under the name Bacillota bacterium. Its description in RNAcentral is "Firmicutes bacterium partial 16S ribosomal RNA". It matches the Rfam family "Bacterial small subunit ribosomal RNA", at positions 355 to 776 of the family's 1533-position model. The record is from RNAcentral. Lineage: Bacteria; Bacillati; Bacillota.